This 774-nucleotide ribosomal RNA is filed under the name uncultured Neocallimastigales. RNAcentral describes it as "partial large subunit ribosomal RNA". It matches the Rfam family "Eukaryotic large subunit ribosomal RNA", at positions 24 to 643 of the family's 3401-position model. The record is from RNAcentral. Lineage: Eukaryota; Fungi; Neocallimastigomycota; Neocallimastigomycetes; Neocallimastigales.
UAUGUGAUCGUCUCUCGCAUAUCAAUAAGCGGAGGAAAAGAAACUAACAAGGAUUCCCCUAGUAACGGCGAGCGAAGCGGGAAGAGCUCAAAUUUGAAAUCUUAAAGGGUUUCCCUUUACGAAUUGUAGUUUAAAGAAGUGUUUUCUGUUGAGGUUUUGGUAAAAGUUCUUUGGAAUAGGACAUCAUAGAGGGUGAGAAUCCCGUAUUUGACCUUUACUUUCAACUUUGUGAUACACUUUCAAAGAGUCGGAUUGUUUGGGAAUGCAGUCCAAAAUGGGUGGUAAAUUUCAUCUAAAGCUAAAUAUUGGCGAGAGACCGAUAGCGAACAAGUACCGUGAGGGAAAGAUGAAAAGAACUUUGAAAAGAGAGAUAAACAGUACGUGAAAUUGUCAAAAGGGAAGCGUUUGACACCAGUGUUGUUUUUCUGAAAAUCAAUUAAAGAACUGUUUAUGCUAAGUUGUUUAGACUUUAUCAGCUAACUGUUUAGUUUUGAGCUUUUCUUUAAUGCACUUUUCAGUUAACAAGUCAACAUCAAUUUCUUUUGCUGUAAAAAAGCUUGAGGAAGGUGGCUUGAGAUUCGUCUUAAGUGUUUAUAGCCUCUUGCCUAUGCAGUCGGAGAGAUUGAGGUCUGCAGCGUAGAUCCUUCGGGGCUAAAUGCAUUUGUGCUAAGUUAUAGCAUUUUAUAGACAACUUGUUGACUAUGAUUUGUCUUGUAGCUUACUCGCUUAUGUUAUUUUACCUACGCUUAGGAUGUUGACACACGCGCGUGCUCG